Bison bison bison is the source of this 76-nucleotide microRNA precursor. Lineage: Eukaryota; Metazoa; Chordata; Mammalia; Artiodactyla; Bovidae. The record is from Ensembl.
AAGAGCCCCGCCAGCCAUAGUGCCCCUAGUCACGCCCUGCACGUGGGGGCUGGCUCUGUGGAUGGUGGAGCUCAGA